Molecule: long non-coding RNA, 1583 nt
Organism: Esox lucius (northern pike)
Lineage: Eukaryota; Metazoa; Chordata; Actinopteri; Esociformes; Esocidae
Source: Ensembl
CCAGUUAGAUCACAUGAUUGUUUAAUUUACAAGAGCAUUUAAUACAAAAGGCUUCCUCAAAUGUCCAGACAAUGACACUCAGUUCAUGUUUAAAUGCACCCUGGUUUGUUUAAACCGUGUAUGUCUACUUUGCAAUGACUAACACGCGUCUUCCGGUAACCAACGAACUGCUAAAACUGACGCUUUUGGUAACAAAAUCGUAUGUCACCUUACUUCCAUGGUCAUCCGCACGAGUCCAUCGUUCUGGCAACAGCCACGCUGAUUGCAGGCAGGUAGGAGGAAGAACCUGAUCUGAAAAAGGCUUGCACAACAGUAAAUGCAGCACUGACAGCUUUGAACAUAUCUGGGCACUGCGUAAACUACGCCGGCAGCAAUUACUCCACGUUCAAGAUACUUUACUUGUAGCAAAGUCAUAGAAACGCAGUGAAAUUGCAAACCGGAAGCUUACUGGUGAACUCAAGUGCUACCGGCCACAUAUACCUGUAGGAGAAUCAGGUUUACCUGUGAUACCUUAGUGGAGGCAUAGGUAGUCUGGCCACCACAGGAAGCGACGCUGCGACCGAGAGCGCCCCCUACUGAUGGGCGGCGUCCGUUGCGUCGCUGUGAGGACAAGGAAAGCCCAACAAAUGAAUCAUGUAACGUGUGCAUUACGACCAUAGCCAGAUAAAAUAAAAACGCAGAGAAACAAAACAAGCAAACAAAUUAAUUACAACUAAAAUCGUAUUUACAAUAUCAUUAUGCACACCUUAGUUUGUGGUUUUAAAGUCAAUACUUUGGUCUUCGGUCAGAAAAACCCGGCCAAACCAGAACCGGUUUACUCCAGAUCAACAAGACCCAAGAUGGAGGUAUAUUUCUUCGAAGUCCCUCUGUUGGAAUUCAAGAGAAUUUUCAUACCCACAGUCCAAUGAGUCACACGUGGUCAUGCGUGAAAGAGAUUUACUUGGCACGCAGAUCUCGAGCGAAUCGGGGCUCAACUUCUGGCUGGAACUGGUGUCGUUUAGCAUGUCGUCGUAUACGAUAUCCAUGAGAUACUGUGUCGUGUUCUUAGGUGCCAUUGAGCAUAUUGACCGUGUAUUUCCGUCGACAGUCUCCGUCCCAUCAUGCAUAAUGUUUUCGCAGUUUUCGGACAAAGUUUGUUCUUGCUUGACCAGUUUAGCAACUAACCUCCUUUUCUGCUCGCAGCGAAUGUAUUUCUUGAGAGUGGCUUUGACAAUGUUGGCGCGCCACAUUUUCAGGCCUUCUUGUCGGGAACUUAAAUUGAGAAUUUUCCUCAGCCUGCACUUUGAAAGUUUGCCAGAUCUUCUGGAGUAACACGGUUUGAGUACUUCCCAUUCCACUUUGGUAUCCAUUUCCAAGCACAUUUCACGCACAAAAAGGUAAAUGUCCAAAGUAGUUCGUAUAAAAAGUCAGACAGCGAACGUUUAUCAGCUCGCAAAUUCACAAAUGUAAAGUAACUUAUCUGAAUGAGUGAAACAUAAGGCUUCCAGAGGAUUUAAAGUCAAAAGUUUUACGAUUACAAAAAUUACUUUAACAAAAACUGGCUUGCGUAGUGCAAACAGUCCAUCCACGAAGACUUACAAAAU